ACCCUUUGUGACAUACCUACAACUGUUGCUUCGGCGGGUAGGGUCUCCGCGACCCUCCCGGCCUCCCGCCUCCGGGCGGGUCGGCGCCCGCCGGAGGAUAACCAAACUCUGAUUUAACGACGUUUCUUCUGAGUGGUACAAGCAAAUAAUCAAAACUUUUAACAACGGAUCUCUUGGUUCUGGCAUCGAUGAAGAACGCAGCGAAAUGCGAUAAGUAAUGUGAAUUGCAGAAUUCAGUGAAUCAUCGAAUCUUUGAACGCACAUUGCGCCCGCCAGCAUUCUGGCGGGCAUGCCUGUUCGAGCGUCAUUUCAACCCUCAAGCUCUGCUUGGUGUUGGGGCCCUACAGCCGAUGUAGGCCCUCAAAGGUAGUGGCGGACCCUCCCGGAGCCUCCUUUGCGUAGUAACUUUACGUCUCGCACUGGGAUCCGGAGGGACUCUUGCCGUAAAACCCCCCAAUUUUCCAAAGGUUGACCUCGGAUCAGGUAGGAAUACCCGCUGAACUUAAGCAUAUCAA
RNAcentral lists this ribosomal RNA (515 nucleotides) under Colletotrichum gloeosporioides. RNAcentral's name for it is "eukaryotic LSU rRNA". The stretch from base 154 to 307 matches the Rfam family "5.8S ribosomal RNA". The record is from RNAcentral. Lineage: Eukaryota; Fungi; Ascomycota; Sordariomycetes; Glomerellales; Glomerellaceae.